RNAcentral lists this transfer RNA (87 nucleotides) under Limisphaerales bacterium. RNAcentral describes it as "Verrucomicrobia subdivision 3 bacterium (hot springs metagenome) tRNA-Tyr". It matches the Rfam family "tRNA". Rfam says of the family: Transfer RNA (tRNA) molecules are approximately 80 nucleotides in length. Their secondary structure includes four short double-helical elements and three loops (D, anti-codon, and T loops). The record is from RNAcentral. Lineage: Bacteria; Pseudomonadati; Verrucomicrobiota; Verrucomicrobiia; Limisphaerales.
GGUAGGAUACUCAAGCGGUCAACGAGGGCAGACUGUAAAUCUGCUGGCUUUAUGCCUUCGAAGGUUCGAAUCCUUCUCCUACCACCA